CGCCGAAGCGUGACCGCAACAGGUGGGGGGACGGGAGUGGGGGAACUCUCCCCCUUCGAUUUGAGAGUGGCCGCUUUGAUCGGUGACACAGCUCUCACCGGAGUGGUGGGAGCCCAUGAAGGGGACACCGAUCAUCCCCAAGACAAGCAAGGAGAGGGCACGGAUUGCUCCGUCGGCCCCGGCGUCUCCAGCGCCCUUCGGAUUUGACCGUUUGCGAUGUCCUCUAACAACGCUAACGCAGCCAUUUUUAAAACAAUUUUCUUCAUCCAUUGCGCAUGCUUUUAUAGCCACCCAUAUAAUUGCAAGGUGUGUUAAUUGUUCAUUAGUGUGUCUCUGAUGUGCAAAUCACUCUGAGUCAUUGUUUUCACCUUUUUUCCCAGUUUCCCAGCGUCACCUCUAAGUGUCGCCAAAGGAACAA
This is a long non-coding RNA of Gadus macrocephalus (Pacific cod), 418 nucleotides long. RefSeq lists it as uncharacterized. The record is from RefSeq and is a predicted model, not a curated record. The transcript has 2 exons. Lineage: Eukaryota; Metazoa; Chordata; Actinopteri; Gadiformes; Gadidae.